AAGGGCGUGUAGGCGGUGGGACAGUCAGAUGUGAAUACUCCGUCUUAGCUGCGGGGCUGCAUCUGAACUGGUCUUCUUGAUUGUCGGAAAGGAAAGUGGAAUUCCCAGUGGAACGGUGAAAUGCGUAAAAAUUGGGAGGAACACCAGUGGCGAAGGCGGCUUUCUGGACCACAACUGACGCUGAAGCGCGAAAGCGUGGGGAGCAAACAGGAUUAAAUACCCUGGUAAUCCACGCUGUAAACGAUGGAUACUAAGUGUAAGAGGUAUCGACCCCUUCUGUGCCGGAAUUAACAAAAUAAGUAUCCCGCCUGGGGAGUACCGUCGCAAGGUUGAAACUCAAAUGAAUUGAAGGUCAU
RNAcentral lists this ribosomal RNA (356 nucleotides) under uncultured Bacillota bacterium. RNAcentral's name for it is "bacterial SSU rRNA". It matches the Rfam family "Bacterial small subunit ribosomal RNA", at positions 563 to 920 of the family's 1533-position model. The record is from RNAcentral. Lineage: Bacteria; Bacillati; Bacillota.